Stegodyphus dumicola is the source of this 731-nucleotide long non-coding RNA. The record is from RefSeq and is a predicted model, not a curated record. NCBI's taxonomy places the organism in Eukaryota, Metazoa, Arthropoda, Arachnida, Araneae, Eresidae.
GUUACCGCGUUUCUAACUUAAGAAAUUUUAUAGGACUGUAAUUACAUUUGAAAUCGUAUGAAAAUUUCGACUGGUGACUUUCCAUCAUCUCAAACAAAUGCUUAAUUUAUAAAAUCAAAAGUGCUGGAACCUCUGAAAGAGCCCUCUGAUGCCCUGUCGAUAUAAUUCUAGCUGUCAAACAGAAUGUGACUGGGCAAAAAAAUUUUCCCUGAAUCCCAUCCGAUGACAAGAUUACUAGCACUAGACGUGGAAGACCAAAGGUUCUUCUGCUUUCGCAGUUACUGGAUUGUUUGUUCUGUGUUUCUGUUUAUGAAUAUUCCACGACAUAGCAGGAAAAAGUGAAAUAAUAAUUCCCAAAUAAAUAAUGAUAAUUUAUUAUUUUACGAAUAAUAAUAAAAUGAAAUAAUAGAAUCAUUGUUCGACGAAAUAAUUAAGACAUACCGACUUCAGAUAUCCGAGAAAAAAAAAAAAAAAAAAAAUCAGCUUGCAUUGACGCGGUUCUCUUCAGAAUCAAAAGAAUAGUCUUAAGAGCAAAGUUUGUUUAGGAUCUUCAUAGAGAAAGUAACGAGCCUAUGUUCUGGUAUUGAGUACAAUGAUGAGGGGACAGUCUGCAAAGGAGGGGUUUUUGAGUUGUCCAAAAUUAAUGAAUUUGGGUUGUCCCCUUCUGCCUGUCUCACGUACUCAAUAAGUAAAGCUUACUACUUUAAAAUAGGCACUUCAAUAUCGUAACG